CCGCUGCUUCUGGCGGAUCCUCCAAAUCUGGCAAGGGCGAGGAGGAGAGCUAAGAGCCGGGA
RNAcentral lists this microRNA precursor (62 nucleotides) under Picea abies (Norway spruce). Its description in RNAcentral is "miR11461 stem-loop (pab-MIR11461)". Lineage: Eukaryota; Viridiplantae; Streptophyta; Pinopsida; Pinales; Pinaceae. The record is from miRBase by way of RNAcentral.